RNAcentral lists this ribosomal RNA (303 nucleotides) under uncultured bacterium. RNAcentral's name for it is "bacterial SSU rRNA". It matches the Rfam family "Bacterial small subunit ribosomal RNA", at positions 495 to 793 of the family's 1533-position model. The record is from RNAcentral.
GGCUAACUCCGUGCCAGCAGCCGCGGUAAUACGGAGGGUGCGAGCGUUAAUCGGAAUUACUGGGCGUAAAGCGCAUGCAGGUGGUUUGUUAAGUCAGAUGUGAAAGACCCGGGGCUCAACCUCGGAAUAGCAUUUGAAACUGGCAGACUAGAGUACUGUAGAGGGGGGGUAGGAAUUUCAGGUGUAGCGGUGAAAUGCGUAGAGAUCUGAAGGAAUACCGGUGGCGAAGGCGGCCCCCCUGGACAGAUACUGACACUCAGAUGCGAAAGCGUGGGGAGCAAACAGGAUUAGAUACCCUGGUAG